RNAcentral lists this ribosomal RNA (301 nucleotides) under uncultured bacterium. Its description in RNAcentral is "partial 16S ribosomal RNA". It matches the Rfam family "Bacterial small subunit ribosomal RNA", at positions 509 to 809 of the family's 1533-position model. The record is from RNAcentral.
CAGUCGCCACGGGAAAACGUAGGUGGCAAGCGUUGUCCGGAAUUAUUGGGCGUAAAGCGCGCGCAGGCGGAUCAGUCAGUCUGUCUUAAAAGUUCGGGGCUUAACCCCGUGAGGGGAUGGAAACUGCUGAUCUAGAGUAUCGGAGAGGAAAGUGGAAUUCCUAGUGUAGCGGUGGAAUGCAUAGAUAUUAGGAAGAACACCAGUGGCGAAGGCGACCUUCUGGACGAAAACUGACGCUGAGGCGCGAAAGCCAGGGGAGCGAACGGGAUUAGAUACCCGAGUAGUCCCUGUCUCUUAUACA